This 72-nucleotide transfer RNA is filed under the name Diaphorina citri (Asian citrus psyllid). It matches the Rfam family "tRNA". From Rfam's summary of the family: Transfer RNA (tRNA) molecules are approximately 80 nucleotides in length. Their secondary structure includes four short double-helical elements and three loops (D, anti-codon, and T loops). Further hydrogen bonds mediate the characteristic L-shaped molecular structure. tRNAs have two regions of fundamental functional importance: the anti-codon, which is responsible for specific mRNA codon recognition, and the 3' end, to which the tRNAs corresponding amino acid is attached (by aminoacyl-tRNA synthetases). tRNAs cope with the degeneracy of the genetic code in two manners: having more than one tRNA (with a specific anti-codon) for a particular amino acid; and 'wobble' base-pairing, i.e. permitting non-standard base-pairing at the 3rd anti-codon position. The record is from Rfam by way of RNAcentral. Lineage: Eukaryota; Metazoa; Arthropoda; Insecta; Hemiptera; Psyllidae.
GCCUCGGUAGCGUAGUGGUCAAGACGCUCGCCUGGUAAACAGGAGGGCGUGGGUUCGAUCCCAGCCGGGGCA